AAUGUCUUUCUCCAUUACAGAAAUGUACGCUUUGCAGUCUUCUAGGCGCCACCAUUGGCUGUGAAAUUAAGGCCUGUGUGAAAACUUAUCACUAUCAUUGUGGUGUUGAAGACAAAGCUAAAUAUAUUGAAAACAUGUCAAGAGGCAUUUACAAACUUUAUUGUAAAAACCACAGUGGAAAUGAUGAGCGUGACGAAGAAGAUGAAGAGCGGGAAAUCAAGAGCAAGGUCAAUGCAACUACUGCCCACAGUGCAAACACUCCACAGCAGCUCAAUGGCAACUAAGGCUCAAUACAUUCUUGGAAGGACAAAUCAGGAGUCGGAGAAUACUUCAUACACAUUCUAUAAGAAUGCAGGAAGAUCCAGCCUAGAAUGGAUUUAUCUAGGAUUGUGUAAAGGACUGUAGGGGAAUGGGAAAGUUGUAUUUUUUCAAUGGUUAUUUGAUAAUUUUGUAUGUAUCACUGACUACAUACGUUUUAGGUUCAUAAUCCAGUCAAGUUUUUUCUCCAUUUUUAUUAUUUUCUUUAAUAGCAUUUCCUUGGUUUGGAAAAAAUUUCAAGGGAAUAAAAAAAAAGAAAAGAAAAAUGUUUCCUAAACUGA
Molecule: long non-coding RNA, 599 nt
Organism: Bombina bombina (fire-bellied toad)
Lineage: Eukaryota; Metazoa; Chordata; Amphibia; Anura; Bombinatoridae
Exons: 2
Source: RefSeq, a predicted model, not a curated record